GUUGUCGUGUCCGAGAGGUUAAGGCGAUGGACUAGAAAUCCAUUGGGACAUUCCCGCAUAGGUUCAAAUCCAGUCGACAACG
Non-coding RNA from Biomphalaria pfeifferi, 82 nucleotides. The record is from the annotation of a GenBank genome assembly. NCBI's taxonomy places the organism in Eukaryota, Metazoa, Mollusca, Gastropoda, Planorbidae.